GCAAACGACCCGAGUUUAUAGCUGGGCGGAAUGAGUAAUUAUUUAUUUUAAAGAAACCUCUUUGUCUCUGUAAUGCAGUCGAUGAAUAUUUAUACAGUGAAUCUAGUAGCUGCCGCGGUCGCGGUGUUAUUACAACUCUUUCUCCACUGUUCAGUCAGUCGACUAAAGUUCUCUCUUUCUGAGUUCAGGAUGACCAGUCUUUUUGUGUUUUCGGCCACUUUGGCUAGUAUAUUUAUUCUGUAUAAAGCCAACGAAUUGGGCGCCUUAAAGUUAAAAAAUAAACUAUUAAAAUACCGUAAAGUAACCUUACACACCUCAAACGGGAAAGUUACUCGCGAUUUUGAAAAAUGCACCUCUUUGGAUCCGCAAAUUCUUACUCACAUGUUUAAUAGCUCGUUGUUCUUUACGUGCUCUUUGAUAUUUUUUUAUUUUUUGUUUCGAGGC
Molecule: long non-coding RNA, 444 nt
Organism: Zophobas morio
Lineage: Eukaryota; Metazoa; Arthropoda; Insecta; Coleoptera; Tenebrionidae
Exons: 3
Source: RefSeq, a predicted model, not a curated record